AGAAUCAACGCUGGCGGCGUGCCUAACACAUGCAAGUCGCACGAGAAAGGGGGAGCAAUCCCUGAGUAAAGUGGCGCACGGGUGAGUAACACGUGAAUAAUCUACCUCCGAGUGGGGGAAUAACUGAGAGAAAUCUUAGCUAAUACCGCAUAACACUUACGAGUCAAAGCAGCAAUGCGCUUGGAGAGGGAGUUCGGCGGCCGAUUAGUUAGUUGGCGGGGUAAUGGCCCACCAAGCGAUGAUCGGUA
This 248-nucleotide ribosomal RNA is filed under the name uncultured bacterium. Its description in RNAcentral is "partial small subunit ribosomal RNA". It matches the Rfam family "Bacterial small subunit ribosomal RNA", at positions 26 to 285 of the family's 1533-position model. The record is from RNAcentral.